This 24-nucleotide non-coding RNA is filed under the name Mus musculus (house mouse). The record is from RNAcentral. Lineage: Eukaryota; Metazoa; Chordata; Mammalia; Rodentia; Muridae.
AAACAAGCUCUCAAGGUCCAUUGU